UACGUAGGGACCGAGCGUUGUCCGGAAUCAUUGGGCGUAAAGAGCGUGUAGGCGGCCUUUUAAGUCCUGCGUGAAAUCCUGCGGCUCAACCGCAGACGGUCGUGGGAAACUGGAAGGCUAGAGUGCGGGAGAGGAGAGUGGAAUUCCCGGUGUAGCGGUGAAAUGCGCAGAUAUCGGGAAGAACACCCGUGGCGAAGGCGGCUCUCUGGAACGCAACUGACGCUGAGACGCGAAAGCGUGGGGAGCAAACCGG
This 253-nucleotide ribosomal RNA is filed under the name uncultured bacterium. RNAcentral's name for it is "partial 16S ribosomal RNA". It matches the Rfam family "Bacterial small subunit ribosomal RNA", at positions 524 to 776 of the family's 1533-position model. The record is from RNAcentral.